RNA transcript from Solanum tuberosum (potato), 1792 nucleotides. It is a transcript of the gene named alpha-farnesene synthase-like, with no coding region annotated. NCBI's taxonomy places the organism in Eukaryota, Viridiplantae, Streptophyta, Magnoliopsida, Solanales, Solanaceae. The record is from RefSeq and is a predicted model, not a curated record. The transcript has 7 exons.
GCUUAUAUAUAUCUUCCACAUCUUUCAGUGAGCUAUUAUCUAAAACCAUGGCUUGCAUAAACAGUCUCUAUUGCUUCAACCAUGCAGACUCAGAAACUUCAUCAUACUAUUGAAAAACAAAGUCAUCCAGAAAGGAUCUCUACCUAUAAACCAAACAUUUGGAAAUAUGAUCAUCUACUUUCUCUUACAAGUCAAUAUUCUGAAGGAAAGUACAAAAUUGAAGCAGAAAAGCUAAAAGAGGAAGUUCGUUGCAUGUUUUCAAACACUACUAGUCCAGUGGCUCAGUUAGAGCUUAUAGACGGAAUUGACAAACUUGGCCUAAGUGCUUACUUCGAGGUUGAUACAAAUGAAGCUUUGGAAAAUACAAUUUUGUACAUGAAAACUAGUUCCAACUCAAAGGAUCUCUAUGCUACUGCAUUGUGCUUUAGACUUCUUAGGGAACGUGGCUACCAUGCUUCACAAGAUAUGUUAAAGGAUUUGUUUGAUGGGAAAGGGAAAUUACCUCCACAUGUAAAAACAUUAUUGGAGCUUUUGGAAGGGUCACAUCUGAGCAUUGAUGGUGAAAAAUUACUAAACGACAUAAGAUUGUUGUCUACCAAAAACCUCAAAAAUUUAACAUUAGAUGUUGACAGAUUUACUAGUAAUCCCUUGGCAUGGAGAGUGAGAUGGUACGGCGUUAGAACACACAUUAUUAAUACUGCUAAAAAUUGCAACAACACAAAUCCAAUGUUGCUCAAAUUAGCUAAACUUAACUUCAAUAUUAUUCAAGCCACACACCAAAAAGAUCUCAAAGAUGUAAUAAGAUGGUGGAGGAAUCUUUGCAUAGUUGAAAGUUUAGGGUUUACAAGGGACAGAAUAGUAGAAAGCUUCUUUUUUGCUGUAGGAAUUGCGUCAGAGCCUGAACAUGGAAGCAUGAGAAAAUGGCUAACCAAAGUGAUUCAAUUGAUACUUAUAAUAGAUGAUGUUUAUGAUAUUUAUGCUUCUUUACCCGAUGUGCAACAAUUCACCCGUGCCAUAGAGAAGUGGGAUCCAAAAGAAGUGCAAAGGCUACUAGAGUGUAUACAGAUAUGUUUCAAAGCGUUGCAUGAUACAAUGGAAGACAUAUCUGUUGAAAUUCAACGACAAAAAGGUGGCCCUUCACCAUUACCUCAUCUCAAACAAGUGUGGGUCAACUUCUGUAAAGCGUUACUAGUGGAAGCAACAUGGUACCACAAUGGUCAUAUACCAACACUUGAAGAUUAUCUUCAUAAUGGGUGGACUUCAUCUUCCGGUCCUUUACUUUCAUUACAUGUCAUUUUUGGUCUCACAAAUGAAAACCUUCAUUUAUGCAAAAAUUGCCAAGAAAUUAUUUACCACACUUCCCUUAUAAUUCGACUUUGCAAUGAUCAAGGUACCUCAACGGCGGAACUAGAGAGAGGUGAUGUGGCUUCAUCAAUUAUAUGUUACAUGCAAGAAGAAAAUGUUUCAGAGGAUGUAGCCCGAGAACAUAUUGAAAGAAUAAUUUUGAAUUCAUGGAAGAAGAUUAAUUAUCAUUUUAAUAGCCUUUCUACAUCACAUCGAAAAAUUAUUAAGCAUGUAAUAAAUGAAGCGCGAAUGGCACAUGUCAUGUACCAUUCUCGAGAUGGAUUUGGGGUCCAAGAUGGUGAAACUCAAGACCAAGUCCUUAUCAACUUGGUUGAGCCUAUUAUAUAAUCAUUGUCUAUAGGAUUUAUUAUAAUCUGCUAUAUGUAUGAAUAAGAAAGAUACGAAGUUCCGUGUGGUAAUAUAGUAUUAAUUAUGUGUUUACAUAUGA